RNAcentral lists this ribosomal RNA (282 nucleotides) under uncultured Pseudomonas sp. Its description in RNAcentral is "partial 16S ribosomal RNA". It matches the Rfam family "Bacterial small subunit ribosomal RNA", at positions 1100 to 1382 of the family's 1533-position model. The record is from RNAcentral. Lineage: Bacteria; Pseudomonadati; Pseudomonadota; Gammaproteobacteria; Pseudomonadales; Pseudomonadaceae.
AACCCUUGUCCUUAGUUACCAGCACGUUAUGUGGGCACUCUAAGGAGACUGCCGGUGACAAACCGGAGGAAGGUGGGGAUGACGUCAAGUCAUCAUGGCCCUUACGGCCUGGGCUACACACGUGCUACAAUGGUCGGUACAAAGGGUUGCCAAGCCGCGAGGUGGAGCUAAUCCCAUAAAACCGAUCGUAGUCCGGAUCGCAGUCUGCAACUCGACUGCGUGAAGUCGGAAUCGCUAGUAAUCGUGAAUCAGAAUGUCACGGUGAAUACGUUCCCGGGCCUU